This 494-nucleotide ribosomal RNA is filed under the name uncultured bacterium. RNAcentral's name for it is "partial 16S ribosomal RNA". It matches the Rfam family "Bacterial small subunit ribosomal RNA", at positions 28 to 507 of the family's 1533-position model. The record is from RNAcentral.
GACGAACGCUGGCGGCGUGCUUGACACAUGCAAGUCGAACGGAAAGGCCUGCUUUCCCUUGUGGAUUGCGGGUACUCGAGUGGCGAACGGGUGAGUAACACGUGAGUGAUCUGCCCCCAACUUGGGUAUAAGCCUGGGAAACUGGGUCUAAUUCCCGAUAGGACUGCAGGGUGGUGCCUGUGGUGGAAAACGAUUUUCUAGUGGUUGGGGAUGAGCUCGCGGCCUAUCAGCUUGUUGGUGGGGUAAUGGCCCACCAAGGCGGCGACGGGUAGCCGGCCUGAGAGGGUGGACGGCCACAUUGGGACUGAGAUACGGCCCAGACUCCUACGGGAGGCAGCAGUGGGGAAUAUUGCACAAUGGGCGGAAGCCUGAUGCAGCGACGCCGCGUGGGGGAUGACGGCCUUCGGGUUGUAAACUCCUUUCGACCGCGAGGAAGCCACCUGGUUGGAAGGGUGGUGACGGUAGUGGUAGAAGAAGCACCGGCUAACUACGUG